AGAGUUUGAUCCUGGCUCAGAGCGAACGCUGGCGGAAUGCUUAACACAUGCAAGUCGCACGGGGGCUUCGGCCUUAGUGGCGGACGGGUGAGUAACGCGUAGGAACGUGUCCUGGGAUGGGGGAUAACGCUGGGAAACUGGCGCUAAUACCGCAUGUCUGCUGAGGCAGAAAGCCUUCGGGUGUCUUGGGAGCGGCCUGCGUCCGAUUAGCUAGUUGGUGGGGUAAAGGCUUACCAAGGCGACGAUCGGUAGCUGGUCUGAGAGGACGAUCAGCCACACUGGGACUGAGACACGGCCCAGACUCCUACGGGAGGCAGCAGUGGGGAAUAUUGGACAAUGGGCGGAAGCCUGAUCCAGCAAUUCCGCGUGGGUGAAGAAGGUCUUCGGAUUGUAAAGCCCUUUCGGCGGGGACGAUGAUGACGGUACCCGCAGAAGAAGCCCCGGCUAACUUCGUGCCAGCAGCCGCGGUAAUACGAAGGGGGCUAGCGUUGCUCGGAAUUACUGGGCGUAAAGGGCGCGUAGGCGGCGGUGUUAGUCAGGCGUGAAAUUCCUGGGCUUAACCUGGGGACUGCGCUUGAUACGGCAUUGCUUGAGGGUGGAAGAGGCUCGCGGAAUUCCCAGUGUAGAGGUGAAAUUCGUAGAUAUUGGGAAGAACACCGGUGGCGAAGGCGGCGAGCUGGUCCAUUACUGACGCUGAGGCGCGACAGCGUGGGGAGCAAACAGGAUUAGAUACCCUAGUAGUCC
This 744-nucleotide ribosomal RNA is filed under the name uncultured bacterium. RNAcentral describes it as "bacterial SSU rRNA". It matches the Rfam family "Bacterial small subunit ribosomal RNA", at positions 8 to 796 of the family's 1533-position model. The record is from RNAcentral.